Brassica oleracea var. oleracea is the source of this 362-nucleotide long non-coding RNA. RefSeq lists it as uncharacterized. The record is from RefSeq and is a predicted model, not a curated record. NCBI's taxonomy places the organism in Eukaryota, Viridiplantae, Streptophyta, Magnoliopsida, Brassicales, Brassicaceae. The transcript has 4 exons.
GCUGCGUGAUAUGGAGCGCUGCGCCCGACAAGCCCGAUUUAACAGAAGUUGGAGGAAGAAAAAGUCAUCACUUGCUACUACCAAUUCCACCAUGCCCUGUCUGGAUGCUCCUUUGGUGAAGAAAAUGUCAUCACUUACUACUACUUCCACCAUGCCUGUCUUGAUGCUCCUUUGAAAAUGUCAUCACCUCACGAUGUCACUACUAGUACCACCACCAUGCCUCGGUCGCCAUCAAGGUAUAUAUACAUUCAUAUAUACAUUUCAUCUGUAAUAUAUAGAGAGAGGCAUCAACUGAGGUUUGCAGAGACCUAAAUUACAUAAGACAACAACAAGUAAACCAAGCGUUACUUCGGAAUUUGACA